This 18-nucleotide small nuclear RNA is filed under the name Arabidopsis thaliana (thale cress). Its description in RNAcentral is "snRNA_01118". The record is from RNAcentral. Lineage: Eukaryota; Viridiplantae; Streptophyta; Magnoliopsida; Brassicales; Brassicaceae.
AUAAAUAUUGAUUCAAAU